Molecule: ribosomal RNA, 327 nt
Filed under: Buchnera aphidicola
Lineage: Bacteria; Pseudomonadati; Pseudomonadota; Gammaproteobacteria; Enterobacterales; Erwiniaceae
Also listed under: 1 other name
Description: partial 23S ribosomal RNA
Rfam family: Bacterial large subunit ribosomal RNA
Source: RNAcentral
AUAGUCUAUUGGUAGCCGUACUGGAAACCGACACAGGUGGACAAGUAGAGAAUACUAAAGCGUUGAGACAACUCGGGUGAAGGAACUAGGCAAAAUAGCACCGUAACUUCGGGAGAAGGUGCGCCAAUUGUAGUUGUAGGCAUUUACUGUCGAAGGCGAGAUUGGUCGAAGAUACCAGGUGGUUGCGACUGUUUACUAAAAACACAGCACUCUGCAAACACGAAAGUGGAAGUAUAGGGUGUGACUCCUGCCCGGUGCUGGAAGGUUAAUUGAAGGGGUUAGCUCACCUUCAGAUAAUUUUUAAGAUACGAGGCAUCGCGAGUGAGC